GGAAAUGGUUUUGAGAUCAUGGGAGGAAAGGAAUUUAUAAAAUAUUUAGUUUUAUGCCUUGUGAAAAUUGGAGUUGAGAAUGAAUCUAAUUUUAAUUGUUGGUUUUACUUGGACAAUAUCUAUAUAUUUUUCCAAAUUAUGAUCCUUUUAGCUGGAAGAACUAUGUGUGGUUUGAUCCCUCUUUAAGGGUACGCAGGCAACCUG
RNAcentral lists this long non-coding RNA (204 nucleotides) under Prunus persica (peach). RNAcentral's name for it is "long non-coding RNA (PPER_LNC003212)". The record is from RNAcentral. Lineage: Eukaryota; Viridiplantae; Streptophyta; Magnoliopsida; Rosales; Rosaceae.